CUGACUGAUGUUCGUCUGCACUGCACAGAGGAAAUCAACUGACCGAGGAGUGUUUCUGAGUGAGGGGGAGAGGAGUCAUCAUCCAGGUAAAGUGACGUGGAUCAGUGGAUACACUUGUCUCCCCUUUAAAGGAGACGAUCCAAGUCAUCCUUAAAUAUGGGCAGUAUAUCAGUCUUGGACUGUCUGACCUGCAGCACUGAAUGACCACCACACAUGAGCAUGUUCCUGCAACAUUCAGCAUCUGAUCCUUCAUCUGUGUGCUGCUG
This is a non-coding RNA of Maylandia zebra (zebra mbuna), 266 nucleotides long. Lineage: Eukaryota; Metazoa; Chordata; Actinopteri; Cichliformes; Cichlidae. The record is from RefSeq and is a predicted model, not a curated record.